This 457-nucleotide ribosomal RNA is filed under the name uncultured bacterium. RNAcentral's name for it is "partial 16S ribosomal RNA". It matches the Rfam family "Bacterial small subunit ribosomal RNA", at positions 28 to 523 of the family's 1533-position model. The record is from RNAcentral.
GACGAACGCUGGCGGCGUGCUUAACACAUGCAAGUCGAACGGUAAGGCCCCUCGGGGUACACGAGUGGCGAACGGGUGAGUAACACGCGGGAACGUACCCUUUGGUUCGGAAUAACUUGGGGAAACUCAAGCUAAUACCGGAUAAGCCCUUAUGGGGAAAGGUUUACUGCCGAAGGAUCGGCCCGCGUCGGAUUAGCUAGUUGGUGAGGUAAUGGCUCACCAAGGCGACGAUCAGUAGCUGGUCUGAGAGGAUGAUCAGCCACACUGGGACUGAGACACGGCCCAGACUCCUACGGGAGGCAGCAGUGGGGAAUAUUGGACAAUGGGGGCAACCCUGAUCCAGCCAUGCCGCGUGAGUGAUGAAGGCCUUAGGGUUGUAAAGCUCUUUUACCCGGGACGAUAAUGACUGUACCGGGAGAAUAAGCCCCGGCUAACUUCGUGCCAGCCGCCGCAGUAA